Molecule: long non-coding RNA, 1208 nt
Filed under: Prunus persica (peach)
Lineage: Eukaryota; Viridiplantae; Streptophyta; Magnoliopsida; Rosales; Rosaceae
Description: long non-coding RNA (PPER_LNC001967)
Source: RNAcentral
AGAGCUCUUAAAUGUCAACAAAUAGGUAAGCUGACACUUAAAAAGUGUCAAGGCUGACCAUAAGCAAACGAUUUUUUCUAUCGUGUGACGGUUAUUAUCUGUCAGGGAAAGCGUUUUCUUGACGGACAAAAAGCGUCAAGUAUGUGGGUACCCUUUUCCUGACACUGGUAUUCUUGAUGCUUUUUUAGCCGUCAAUUAAAUAGAUUCUUGACACUUUUUAACCGUCACUAAAGGCAGUUUUCUUGUAGUGAGAAAUGUUAUAGCAUGCCCCCUUAAAUUUUGUGUGAUUUCAAAGGUUACUGUUAAACUUUUGGUCAAUGUCUCCCUUAAAUAUUUAGGGCCCGUUCGGUAUCAUUUUCAAGCGUCAUUUUCUGUUUUUGUUUUCUGUUUUCACGUGAAAACGUGUUCGAUGGGUUAUUUUGAGAAACAAGCUGAAAUUGUUUUCUGAGAAUGAAAAUAAAAGUACGAAUAAAUGUUGAUAACGCUAGAAAGUCGUUUUCGUUUUCGGCGUUUUUGUUUUUAGUCUAUCCAAAUCAAAGCCAACUCUUCUCCGUCAAAUGAGCAAACAAUCCAAUCAUAUCCAAAACAAUCAAAUCUCCUCUUCCAACCAUAAUCAGCCCCAAAAUAUCAAGAAAAAAAUAGUCACACAAAUUUGCAAACCAAGAAAAAAAGACAGAGAGAAAGAAGAAAAGAAAAAAAAAAGAGGAAGAAGAAGAAGAGAAAGAAUCAGAAAGGGCAGAGAGAGAGAGAGAGAGAGAGAGAGAGUUGCAGAGGGAGAGAUGAGAGAAACCAGCCACCACAUACCCAGCUCAACCACCAUCACCACCCAAUCUAACCAUCACAACCAUUAAUAAGUGGAACCAGAGAGGUGGGUUGAUGGGAUUCAUGUCAUGGAAGGAAGGAGGAGUGAAAGUGAAAAAGAGGGAAGGAAGAAGAAAAGAGAAAGUAGAGAAGAGGAAGAAGGAAAGAAAAAGGAACGGGGAAGGAAAGAAGAAGAAAAGAGGAAGAAAGAAAGAAAGGGAGAAAAAGGAGAAAAGAAAAAUGAAAAAGGAAAGGAGAUAAAAGAUAGUUUUAUCUUUUAAAAAAUAAUAUAAUUUUUUAUUUGUUAAAUUAUACAUUUUUAAAAAUAUUUUUUCAAAACAGAAAUGAGCAAAAAUACCCUUGAAAAAGAACUAACAUUAUAUUAUUCUCAAUUUGUACUAACAGAC